RNAcentral lists this long non-coding RNA (13664 nucleotides) under Nicotiana tabacum (common tobacco). RNAcentral describes it as "long non-coding RNA (NTAB_LNC004657)". Lineage: Eukaryota; Viridiplantae; Streptophyta; Magnoliopsida; Solanales; Solanaceae. The record is from RNAcentral.
CCUAGUUUUUGGAUCUAACCCAUAAUUCCCAAGCCUAUAAUUCCUAGGUCCGUACCCCUUAACCUAAAUAUAACCCUAAAAUCCUAAACCUAUAAAAGGAAGCUAGACCUAACGCCUACAAUGAGCUAAAAAAACACGGCUAGAGCUAAGACCCUAACACUGAAAAUCAAGCGCCGCAAUUCUCAAAAAAGAAACCCCCCCAUCGCUUCUAGUCUUCCUCUUCAAAGGAUCGACGGACAAUCCACCAUUUUUGAACAAAAAUGAAGAAGGCUUAAAAGCCUUCAGCUGCUGGAACGUAAAGAGAUUCACCAUCACCCUCACCUCGCCGGAACAACCACGAACUAGACUUCCUCUUUCACCUUCAACCUCCGUCGCGAACCCGCCCUUUACCACCAAGCAGUGUCUCUACCAGCCAUCGAGACUUCUUCCUCUCGAACGCAAACAUACGAACACACUGAAGCAACAGAGAAGCAAGGGCAGUGAAUGAAAAAAGGGCAGAAAACAGUGAGGAGCCCAAAAGCUCGUUUAACAGUCUUUUCCGGCGAGUCUCGAGUUUUUUUUUGACUGUUCUGCUGGUUCCUUAUCGAGGUUGAAUCCAUCUUAGAGCUUGUUUGUAAGAUCUGUUCGACGCUAGAUAUUGAAGUUUCUGAGUUCGUUGAGGUCCGGUGCGUCGAGGUCGUCACGUAGCUCUGGACGGAUUUCUUUUGUUCAUUGUUUCAAAAACGUAUUGCUAUAUAAAGGUCCAUCUCUCUUCUCUUUGUCUUACUGAUUUAAUUGAAUUAAAGUGAUCUUUCUUCUAUGGUUGAACAUGCUCAAUUUAUGGUAUUGUCACCUAAAUCUAUCAAAUUUUGAUGUGAAUAACUGAAAUUUUGUUUGGUAUUCGUGAUCGUUUCAUUGAUCUUACUAUUGCUGUCUCUAUUCUUUGAUUCUUCCCCUUUGAAACUUGGAGAUUUUCCCUUUAGCUUGCCUUGUUGGGAGAAAGAAUUUGAACUGAUGUUUUGGUGAAAUGAAAACUGUCCUUCUGAAAGAUGGGAAAAAAGAUAUUGAAUUCAUUGUCUUAGAUAGUCACAUGGGCAUUUUGAAUGUAUUUUUAGUGAAAUAGUAUUCACAUUCAGAAACACAUAUGGAUAAUAUCGUUUUUAUGUCACUACUUUAUUAGUUGGUCCGCUAGUAGCAUGCUUAGGUCGUCAAUAGUCGUGAAUCUCGUAGUUUCCUUUAAGCACAUAAUUGAACAUUACAACUAUGGUUACGGUUCCCGUGACGUGGUUGUGGUACUUAGUCUUUUAGAUAUAAGUAGGAGUAUUAAAGUUUGCCUUAGUUAAAUACAAAUAUUUUCUUUAAAAUAAUUUGAGGUGCGCCAUACACAAAUAAAAUCCUAUAAUCUAUGGCCCUCACAUAAAUACAAAAUUAGUAUGAAAAAUGCCUUGAAUUCUCGUAGUUUGCUUUAGGCGCGCUAAUUAAUAAAUUUUAUUACAGCUACGGGUUCGGUUCUCGUGACGUAGUUGUGAUGCCUAAUUUUUAAAUCCGGGGGUACAUUUAUGUGACUCGGCCACAAUUUUAAUCUUGUUAAUAAAUAAACAUGUUGUAGAUCGUGGGUACGGUUCCCGUGACAUGAUUCGCAAUGUGUAAUCAAAUAAUUAGCUGUAUGACAAUUGGAUUAUUAAAAGCGGGUUUAAAAGGGAUAAAAUGCACAUAGGAUUCAAAGAUAUUUUAAAAUCAAAUAAAUAGGCCAAUAAUAACAGUUGAGCAACCGUGCUAAAACCACGGAACCCGGGAAUACUUAUUACCUUCUCUCGGAUUAACAAAAUUCCUUACCCGGAUUUUUNNNNNNNNNNNNNNNNNNNNNNNNNAAAUUAUUCCAAGUGGUGACUCUAAAUUUUUAAUAAAAUAAUCCCGUUUCGAUUGUCAUUUAAAUUGGAAAGAACUCUCUUAUACUCUUUCCGGGGGGUAGGAAAAAGGAGGUGUGGCAAAGUGCACCUUUUAUCCUUUCUCUGGUUUCACUCAAAUGCUGCCCUCAUUUUCUCCUUACCUUUCUAACACUCAAUCUUGUGACUCAAGCGUUUUUAGGGGUAAAAGGUUCAACAAAGUUAAUUAAGAACAAAAAGAAAUUAAGCUUGUAAUGUGGGUGCCAAAGAAAAUAUUUAUAGACUCAAAUGGCUAACUAUGAAAAUAUUUAAACAUGGUAGGCAAUUCAAGGCUCAAUGAGCUAACCAAAUAAAUGCCUAAAUCAUCUCCUAGACUCAACAAGACUUACUUAUUUUCUUCGUCACACACACACGAGCCAAGUUCUAGACUAACUUAGGAUAGCACAAAAUUAAACUUCAAACCUCUCACACACAUUACACAUGACCCAUCCAGACGGUUUCAUUCCAACUCUCAAGUCAAAGUAGGUAAUAUAUACCAAGAAUUACUAAGCAAUAAGCACUAGAUAAACAAACAAGUCAAGAAGUUGAGUAAAAGGCGUCAUAGAACAAGCUAUUCAAAUUUUCAAGGCAUCAUACAAUUUCAAAUAUGUGGGGAAGGUGAUUCACAUGUUUCAGCCUAAAUAUGCUAGCAUCAAACAUGUCAAAAGGCAUCUAAGAGAAAUUAUUUUUUCCUUCCUACUCCUACUCUAAUCCUUAAACCAUAAAAUAGCCGGUUCAAGUUACAUGAUAGGUUACAAGUACCUUGGGCAUAAGUACUUUACUUUAUGUUUUGAUGAUCUAACAAACUUACUAUCCAGAACCAGAUAAGGAACAUGUUACACAUUUACAAGAACUUGAGAUCACAAAGUUCCAAGUUGGGAUCCAGCGUGGGAUAUAACUCAACUUUUUAGAGUGGAAGGAACAGCUGAGGUAACAGGUCCCUACCAGUUCCCGAGGAGACUGUAUGAAGUCAACUCUCCAAUAGGAAAGUUGCUGCCUGCACACGCUACUAUACAUGAACAAUGCAACAAUCAACUUUCUGUGAAAGGCUUUUUACCUACCUUGCUUAUAUCAUUGUAAGUGAUGUCACACACGUAUAAAUACAAUCAAGGAAGGUGAAACAACUUACUUCAUGAGAGAACCAGAUAAAGGACCUGAAGCAUGCCUGGUACAAUCAUUCAAGUUAAUCGACUCAAGAUAAUCUGGGCAGUGUGCCUUUAGAUUUACAAGAACCAGAUUAGGGACCUGAUCUCUUGGUGUUCCCAUGACAAAAGUAUAAGUCAAUUAUACAGCUGAAAAACAACUACAGAAAGUGACUGCCUGCAACUGUACACACAAUAGUGCAGCAGACAGUGCAUCCGUCACUUCCCAUUGGGAAGAGGCAUGUACUAACCAAGAAUUGACAUCACCAUUGUGAAUUGACAUCACCAUGGUGAUGUCUUUUGUAGUAUAAACCUGGUGCAAGGCACAAGACAUUUUCUUCAACACUUGCAAAAUCAAAAGAAGAUAUUCUCUCAAGUGCUUGCCACAACCUCUCUCAAGAACAAAGCUGCUACAACCUCAAGGACCGAAUCCAAUAUUGAAGAUAUCUUAAGUCCUUAGGUUUGUUGAAUCUUUGUUAUUUGUUCUUCAUUUUUUAUUCCUAUCUUGCUUUCUUAGAUGCUGUAAUUUAGGAAACCCAAAAUCACAAACCCGCCAAGUUGUGUUGUGACUAGAGUUAGUCAUAAGUUAAAGUCUUUGUAACUAAAAAGUGACAAAGUGGCUUGUGGUAAGAGUAUCACAAGUUAGUUAAGUUAGAGUCUCUGUAACUAGAGAGUGACAAAGUGGCUUGUGAUGAGAGAAUCACACGUUAGUUAAAGUCUUUGUAACUAGAAAGUGACAAAGUGACUUGUGGUAAGAGUACCACAAGUUAGUUGAGUUAAAUUAUUUGUAAUGGAAUCAUUACAAAGUGGCUUGUAAUAGAUGUUUACAAGUUAGUGAAGUUGAAAGCCUACAGGUGUAGGUCGUGAUUUUUGUCCCCUUGAGUUGGGAUUUUUCCAACUAAGAAUCCUCUGUGUUCUUUAUUUACUACCGAGCUACUAUGGGAACAAUUAGAGAACCUGAUUCCCUAUACUGGUUGGUUUUACAAUAUUUUUCUUACAGUGGGAACUUAUAGAGAAUUUGGUUCUCUAUAUAGUCUGGUGGACACUUAGUUUCUAUCAAUUGAUAAGGUUAACACCUAGAAAGGAUCUACAUGACUACUUCACCAAAUUUCGAGGAAGGACAAUCAACGUACAAACCACCAAGAUUCAACGGACACUACUAUGGUUGGUGGAAAACAAGAAUGCAUGACUUCAUUAUGGCUGAGGACUCAGAGCUGUGGGAUAUAAUCUGUGAUGGACCUUUUGUUCCCAUGAAAACUGUUGGUGAGGGAAUGGUUACAGUCCCAAAAACAAGAAAAGAGUACAAUGAUGCUGAUAGAAAGGCUAUUGAGAAGCAUUUUAGGGCAAAGAAGAUUCUUGUUUGUGGCAUCAAACCAGAUGAGUACAACCGCAUCUCAGCUUGGCAGUCUGCUAAGGAGAUUCAGGAAGCUCUUCAAACUACCCAUGAGGGAACUACUCAGGUUAAACAGUCCAAAAUUGAUAUGCUUACUAUUGAGUAUGAGCUUUUUGAGAUGAAGUAGGAUGAGUCUAUUCAAGAUAUGCACACAUGUUGCACCUCCAUUAUCAAUGAGCUUCACUCCCUUGGUGAAGUCAUCCCAAGAAAUAAGCUGGUCUGGAAAAUACUCAGUGUUUUACCAGGUUCUUAGGAAAGUAAAAUGAAUGCUAUCAUUGAAGCCAAGGAUUUGCAGAAGCUGACCAUUGAUGAACUCAUUAGAAAUCUUAAAAAUAAUGAGAUGAAGAGAAAGAAGGAUCUUUAAAGAAGAGAGCCCAAGAAGGAGAAGAACCGGGUUCUCAAGGCUGCCAACAAAGACUCAAGAAGUGAUGAAUCCGACAUGGAGUAUCUCACUCGAAGAUUCCAAAAUAUGAUUUGAAAAAUUGGUGGGAUUCCAAAGAAAAGAAGUUCCAGUAGGAAUUUCGAAGAAAAUGAUUGCCGCCAUAAGUGUGGAAAGUUUGGACACUUCAUUAAAGACUGUCCUAUUCAUAAGCAGGAUCAUUACAAAACCAACACUGAAAAGGCCACUAAAAGGAACCAGGUCCUUGACAGAAAGUUCAAAAGAAGAGAUGCUGCUGACAACAUGGUGAAGCAAGCCCUGGUUGAUUGGGGAAAUUCCUAUAGUGAAUCUGAAGGUGAAAAUAUGAUGGUUGCUAACAAUGGAUCUUCAGAAUAUGAGUCAAUCUUUGCACUCAUGGCCAAAUCUGAUGAUGAUGAGGACAAAGAGGAAGAUGAGGUAAGUUUUCUUGAUGUUCAAAGAAAUUUGAAAACUUACUCUAUGAAAAAAUUGAUGUCUUUAGCAAAUGUGUUGAUUGAUGCCUAUCAUAGCCUCAUUAAUGAGAAAAAUUCUUUAAUAGAAGAAAUUUAUGGCAUUGAACAAGAGAGAGAUUAUAUGGUAGUUUCCAUUGUAGACUUAGAGGAAACCAUUGAGAGUCUAAAGAAACAAAAAGAGGUUCUAAUUGAGGGUAAUGCUAACAUUGAGCAUGAGAGAGAUGACCUAUUAGUGGUGGCUGUAAACUUAAAGGAAAUAAUUAGGGAACUUACAAUGAAAAGUAGGCCUGAGAAUUCUCAAAAGGGAAAGGAAGUUGCAAGUGAGGCACACAUUAAGCUUGAAAGUGAGUUAAAUUCAGUGAAGUCUAGUAUGUGUGCUGAGCUUGAGAAAAACAACAACUUCAGGAAGAACUAGGAAGACUGAAGAGUGAUAUUGAAAAAUCACUUAAGUGGACCUGGUCCUCUUAUGCUAUCAAUGCCUUGUACACAAACAAUUGGGGAAACAUUCAGGGAAUCAGGUUCCAAAGAGAAAAGACUCCCUACAACGCUUAUAGUAAGUACGUUACUGUACCUGACAAUUGGCUUUGCACUCACUGUGGAAACACUGGGCACUUUAAAGAAAAUUGUAAGGCCAGAAUUCAGUCUCAACAGAAAAAUAAAGUUUUUGCUGAAAAAGUAACUGCUGCUACGGAACCUGGUCCUUCACAUAAAAAACAUAUAAUGCCUGCCUGGACCAAAAGAGCCCUCAUUCACCCCUUUUCUCAUUAUAAGGGACCAAACUCAUUUGAAUUCCUAAGUCUAACUCCUGAUUUUCUUGUGCAGGGAAUAGUGAAAGAGAUCAACCUAUAAUGGUACAUGGAUAGCAACUGCUCAAAACAUAUGACUGGAAGUACAAAUGAUUUUCUUUCACUUAAGGACCUGCAAGGAGAGAGUGUACCCAUUGAAAAUAGCUAAAAGGGAUACACUCUAGGAGUAGGAAGGAUUGGGAAGUCACUCACUCACUCAAUUAAGAACGUGUACUAUGUCAAUUGCCUGAAGUAGUCUCUUGAGUGUUUAAUUCUCAGAUAUGUGACAAGGGAAAUAAAGUGAAAUUCUUGUCCAAGAUAUGCACAGUCACAAAUCUUGUGAUUGGUGAGGUGGUGCUUGUGGCCAAAAGAUACAAGAAUGUUUACAUUGCUGAUUUUAAGUCCCUACAUGGUGGUGAUCUAACGUGCCUAAGUGUCCUUGACGAUGAUGCUGAGUUAUGGUGAAGAUGACUGGGCAUGUGAGUUUCUACUUGUUGAACAAGUUGGUUAUGGAGGACCUGGUUCAUGGGCUGAAGCAGUCAACACUUCUUGCUACUUGAUUAACAAGUGCAUGAUCAGUUUCCUUCUCGAGAAGUUUCUCUAUGAACUGCUCAAUGGGAGAAAAGCCAAGUUGACUUACUCGAGAGCCUUUUGGAUGCAAAAUGUUUUGUUCUCAAUAAUGGUGGAAAAAGGGUCACAUUACAAAGAAGAUGAAGAUGGAGAAUUCACAAAUGCUCCUGUUGAAGCUAUAGAUAUUGCAAAUGAAAAGACUGAUUUGAUGAGUGAAUUCAAGUAGAAGGAUGAAUGAGAUGCAGUAGAAUCUCCAAAAGGCACAGAGGAACCUGGUCCCUUUAUCACCUCGACUUAAGCUAAACAUAGGGUUGUUGAUGCAACAUAGGGUUGUUGAUGCACAUAUGGAAGAACCUGGUCCUUCAAAUUCUGAAGUUCAAGUAUCCAACUAGAAGCAAAAGAGUUCACAUCCCUUCAAAAUGUAAUCACAUCCUUAGAUUCUGGUAUUCAACCUAGUUCUAAGGUAAGGAACAUGUUUUCCCUCUCAGCGUUCUUGUCUUAAAUCUAGCCUUAGAACAUCAAAGAAGCAUUGAAAAAUGCUAACUGGAUAGCUGCUAUGCAAGAAGAAAUCCAUCAGUUGAGAGGAACCAAGUAUGCCCUUGGUCCCUAGGCCUUCAUACAGAAUAGUGAUUGGAACCUGGCCCAAAACACUCUCACUUGAAGGGUGCCAAGGGAAGUUUGAGGUAUCCUAAGGGAAUGCAGGACAUGGUCCUCGUCUAUUAUUCAGGAGAUUCUUUUGAUUUGGUUGGAUAUGUUGAUGCUGAUUAUGUUGAAUAUCUAGUGGACAGAAAAAGCACUUCUGGAACGACACAUUUUCUAGGGUCAUACUUGAUCUCAUGGGGUAUAAAGAAACAAACCGUGUGGCUCUUUCUACUGCUGAAGCUGAAUACGUGGUUGCUGCUUCUUGUUGUGCUCAACUACUACAGAUCAAGCAAUAUCUUGAAGACUUUGGUGUAUUUAUAGCUUGAACCCGGUACAACACAAGAAGACAAAAGGCAUUGAUGUGGGACAUCACUUUUUGAGGGAUAAUGUAUAAAAGGUUCUGAUUUGUAUGAAGUACUGGAAGACGGAGGACCAGGUAGCAGACAUCUUCACCAAGGCACUGACAGUGAACACUUUGAAAGAAAUCGGGGUUGAUCAAGCUUAACAGAGGGACCUGGUCCCUCGAUGAUUGGCUAUGUUAACAAGGAAAAGUACACUGGUAAAAAGUGUUUUUCAGCGAUAUCUAACUCAAAUCUAUACUGUUACAGGUAUACACAUAUAGCAAUUUUAGGACAAAAACAAGUAAGAGUAACAUUGCACUUCUAGGAGUCUUUGCUCAAAAUUUUUAAAAACCGUCAAGGAACCUGGUUCCUAUGACUCAGGUUAGUAGUCUCUCCAAUACUUAUUGUCACACCUCCUUUUGACCCCUCUCCGGAAAAGUAUAAGGGAGUUUUGACCAAUUUAAGUGACAAUCAAAACGGGAUUUAUUUAAAAUUCAGAGUCGCCACUUGAGAUAGUUUAUGGUGUCCCAAGUCACCGAUUUAAAUCUCGAAUCGAGGAAAAGAUUGACUCUGUAUUACAGUCCGCGAAUCAGAAAUCCGGGUAAGGAAUUCUGUUAACCCAGGAGAAGGUGUUAGGCAUUCCCGAGUUCCGUGGUUUUAGCACAGUCUUUAUAUUUAGCUUAAUUAUCUGAUUUUAAACAAUUAUGAACCUAUGUGAAAUUUUAACUUUUAACCGCUUUUAUUCAAUUUUUAAAGAGGAUUGAACGUCGUUUAAAACAUGUCUUUGGAUCGCGCCACAUGAAAUGCACCCGUAAUCCUAAACAUAUUUUAUUCAAUGUUUUAAGAUUUGAUUAGGGUCACAUGAAAUGCACACCCGAUUUUAGGAGGGUAAAUUUUAAAAUAGUGCGCCCGAAGCAACUACGCACUUUCAACUUCGCAAGGGCCAUGUAAAUUUCACCAGGUGGCAUGCCUCAAUUUCUAAGGAUAAAACAAGAUUAAUUAUACGAGGGCCAUGCCAUGGUCAUUUUUGUUCGGUACAACAUACCGAAUUGAAAUUGGGUCACAUGAAAUGCACACCCGAAUUUGGAAAUUAUGUAUCAUGACUAUGUUACAGGAACUGUAUCUAUAGCCACGAUGAUUUAUUAAUAAUCAUGCCUAAAGCAAACUACGAUGUUCAAAGUUGUUUAAUUAUCUGCUAAGUUUGAGAUUAUUGUAGUGCUCGAAGGUUACGAGGGUAGAAUUUAUGAAAAAGUAAGAUUGAUUAUUAGGGACUGCCUGAUGUAUCAAUUAUACCGAGUAUAGUUUUAUGAUGCUACAAGCAGAUAAGUCCUAAUUAUUCAUUCUAUUUUUAUCUAGACUUAAUUCUUGAUGAAGAAAGUUAAUGGAAUAAAAUGAAAGGUCAUGCUAAAAUCCAACGUGAUCUCUACCAAAUAAUAUAGUGGCUCAUUUAACCUUUCCAUUUUGUGAUUAAGCUCACACCCAACGUAAAGUCAUAAGAACCUCCAAAUCUUGACAAGAACAACUAUUAAUCAAAAUAUGAACUUGGGGAAAGAUUGAUUCAAAACAUAAUAGCAUCUGCCGUUGAUGAAACAGAGAGCAAUAAAUCACUCAUACUUGCAUAUUAAUUCAACAGUUUAACACACCAUGAAUAAGAUGAUUUAAACAAAGAGAAUCGCCACUUUAGCUCAAAUGAGCCUACCGUAUAUAUAGCCAGAUGAAUCCUUAUCUUCUGGUGGCUCUAAUCUAUGAGAGUCCAAUGAAAAUUUCAUUCACUAGUAAUAAUUUCAUGAAUUCAAGCGGACGAACAUCAUUAAGCUAGUGAAUCGAAAUUAGCUUAGGUAGUGAACCAAUUUUUAAAUCUCCCAAAGUUUGAAAUUAAAGCAAGUUGAAGAUUCUGCAUAUGCUAAUAAACCAAAACACAUAGCUAAUUAGUGGACAUACAAACAAACUGAACCUAUGGCAUGGUAUUUGAGCACAACGAAUGAUUUCAAACUCAAAUUUUCAGUUCAAAACAAAUAGUCAAAGCUAGAUGUUGGCAGACAUAGUAGAUGUAGACCAAUCCAGUGAUUAAAUACAGUGAAUGCACGAAUUGGACAUUAAUAUAACACGAACAAAUCAGAUUUAUAUUUAUGAUUUUUGUAGACAACUAAAUAAAAUCUGACAUACCUAAUUAUACAGGAAUAAACUUAGAAAUGCCACAUAAAAGCAGAAGAAAAGGAGCACAAACCCAGCAAACAAAUCCCAGCAACAACAAACAGAGAACAUCAGUGAGCCCAAACAAAAACACUUUUAACAGCUUGAAGAACCUUUAAAUUUCCAGAAGUACCAAAUGAAGGAGCAAGGCUUCAACAUGCAUCGAGACCGAAAUCAACAAUUCGAAAUCAACCACAUCUAUAGAAACUUAGGAGGAGCGUUUGAGCUACAAAAUUUCAGUAACCCAAUGGACUUCACAUCUUCAUAAAAAAAAAAUUCAUCUUCUCUUUUGUACUUCCCCUCUUCUAGGUCUAGGAUCUAAUGAUGAUUCAGACUUUAAUACAUGAUGCUAAUGGAUCAGUUAAUGAUGGAUCUAGCUUAUUGGAUCUCUAUUAAUGAACAUAAAUCAUUUAAACUUGUAUAAAGCCAACAAGAUAAACUGAAGGUUCACCAUAUAAAUACUAACAUCAUAUACUCUCUACUAGCAACUACCACAUGCUUAACUGAACUGAUUUGGACAAAAUAAUCACAUUAACUAAACAAACAGAUCAGAGAAGAACAAAAUGGAAUAUUUUCUAUGCUCCAAUUCUUUAUUUUUCAUUUUUCAUUCCUCAAAUUCACUUCAUAACUAAAGUAGUUACAGGGUCGUGUACCUGGAAAUAAAAGAAGGAAGCAGAAAAGUGAGGUAUCAACAGUAACAAUAGUGAAGUAGAAUUCAGCAGCAACAGGUGACCAACAAACCAAUUUCAAACUCAGGAAAUAAUAUACAGCAACCCAGAAAUCAGUUUUGAUCGAACAACAAACCAGAUUCAAUCAACUUUCGAUGAAAUUGAUUCAAAAUCAGGGAGGCAGUGAAUAAAAAUGCAGAAUAUCUCUGUGUAUAUGAAUUCAGUCUCUAUAUCUCCCUCUCUUAGGUCUGUCUCCCUUCUCUUAGGUUGGUAUCUCUCUCAGAAAGUUUUCUUCCUAAUCUCCUCAGCUCCUCCCCACUCUUCUCUUAGGUCUCUCCCCUUUAAAGCCCAAUGUUAAACCCAUUUUAUUCAAAUCUUUUUUCACUUUUCAGCCUGUUUAUUCCCUCCCAUGUGCGCCCCUUUAAACUUUUAUUAUUAACCCAUGUUGUUUCUGAUGUCCCCACCUCUAAAGGUUUUGUAAAAGGGUGUCAACCUUAUUGCCAUCUUCAAUUUUUUAAACCUACCCUAUGUUCUUCUUUGAAUUCCCACCUCUAAAGGUACUUAAAAGGCUGUUACUUUCCACUACUGAUCCUUUUUUUUAAUUUUUAAUUAAACCUUUAAAGGUGUUGACAAACUGUCAUGUCCACUACCAAUCCCUUUGUUUCUUAAUGAACUCCAACUAACCACAUUAACCUUAUGAGGACUAUUUACAUGUUAAGGUUUCAAAAUAGAUCAAAAAGAGAUGUAGAGAUUUUGAAAAUAAACUGAACCUGAGUGAAACAUAGACAUAUUUAUAGAAUCAUGUAAACCAAAAUUCAAACAGAAAUUUCAAACAAAUUAUCGUGUUUAACUAAGCAGUAAUUUGACAUGCAAUGUUCACAUUUGUUGUUCUCAGCAAAUUAAGACAUAAACAGACUGAAACUUCAUGUAAUAAAAGGACAAGAAAAUGAUAAAACCGUGAAUUUCAGCCUGUGGGAAAGGGAUGAGGAGGAAGAUACAUAAAAGAAAACAUUGAAAAAACACCGAAACACUUACCAGAAUCGAACCCUUUAUUCCACUCAAAAGAACUUCCUACUCUUUUGGUUGAGACGGACUCUAAUCGUAUGUUUUUGUUCGAUUGAAAACACACGAUUACAGCCUAUUUCAACCUAAAAAUCUUGAAAUCUUUACUAAGCAGUGUUUUUGGGGACUCAAGGUUCAACUUUUCGAUCUGAAAUUCGAAAGGCUCUACGGUGAUUCGAGGAAAAUUAUCAUGGGAUUUGGGACGAGGGAAGCCUGGUGGUUCAGGGGUGUGAUUUUUUGGGGUUGAUUGGGUAAGGUAGGGUUUUUUUACUGAACUUCGAUUGAAGAUUCGAGGCUCUUGCUAUGAUUCGAAGAGAGGUGUUUGGAUAUUUGGAAUGGAGAGGUUGAGGGGGAUCCGCGGUGUGAAGAAAGAGGUCAUUGGAACUGGCACCGCCGGGUUUAGGGCGGUGGAGAGGGGCGACUGCUGCUAGGGUUUGGAUUUAGGUCGUCUCUGAAGAGACGAAGAAGACUGGGUAGGGGCUUUAGGGGGGUGGGGUGUGUUACACAUAUAUAUACAUGUUGUGGAAUUGAAUCCAAACCGUUGGAUCAAUUGAGAUCAACGGCGUGGAUCAGUUCACUUAUGUAAAACGGGGCCGUUUUGGCCGGUUGGGGGAUUGGGUCGGUUAGUGGGGUGGACGGGUCGAGUUGCGAGGAAAAUACUGGACUGUUCGAUCGAAUGAAACGAACGGUUCAGAUCAACAAACAUGAAACGGCGUCAUUUAGUCGAUGCUGGAGAUGUACUGAACUGUUCGAUCUAAUGAGAUCGACGGUUGAGACUUAUCAGCUCUGAAAUGACGUCGUUGGCUAAGCUGGUGGUGGACCGGGUUUGGACUGCUUUUGGGCCUGGGAAUUUAGUUAAAACUAGUCCAACUCCUAUUUCAUUCUCUUUUAUUUUCUUUUCAAUUUUCUUCUUAAUCAAAUACAAACCCAAAUUUAAUUUUGACCAACUUAUCUUAAAAAGAUUAAUUAAUUCUAAGUAGUAAUUAUCACAAAAUAACUAAACCCCAAAUUAAAAGAAAACAUAAAAUUCGACAUUAAUUACUAAAAUGCAAAGAAUAUAUAUUAUUUUUUUUUUGAAUUUUUUAUUUUUACAAAACACCUAAUUAUUGAUUAAUUAAAAAGAAUGUCAAAUUAAAUCCUAAAUGUACAUGCAACAUAAUUUUUAUUUUUUUUCAUUAAUUUAACCAACGAACAUGCACACACAAAUGCAAACAAUUACAGAAAAUAUCACGAAAAUUCAUAAAAUUGCACACAAAAAGAAAGAUUUAUUUGAUUUUGAAUUUUUAGGAGUGGUUCGUGUGAGACAAAAAUCACGUGCUCACAGCUGCCCCUCUUUGCCCGGAAACAUGAAGAGUUUUCGUGCAAAGAUAAAGUGAGCGGAUACGAGCAACUUUUGACCGUUUGAAUACUCCGUGGGAAGUAUUUUUUUGAAAGAAUUUGACCGAACCUCUUCUUCAAAGGUUUCCUACAUAUCCUUGGCUAUAAAGGAAUCAGGUCAAUGUAGUUCGGGAAGUUUCGGUAGCUGGGACUACCAUGAAGCUGUGGUUUCACUGUUACUGCUGCUACUGAUACUACUCACUGACCUCCUUAUUACACCAUGACAAAAAUGAAGAAGCUAGACUAAGCUAUAACCUAUGCUUUAUAAAGAGUUAUUUUCAAACUUGGCCUUGUGACUGUUGUUGCCUUGUUGACUUGCAUUUUGUUCAGUUGUUCCUUUGUGGCUGACUUGCAUGGUAUCUUUGAAAUGCUUUCCUUUUUCUUCAGGUGGACAUCUUGUUGCUGACCCUUUAAACGUCUUCCUUUGACCAUUGUUGCCUAUCCUCUAUUCUACAGGCGAGCUCCUGAUUACUCGAAUCUUGAAUUGUUUCUUCCCUUCAUCCUCCCUUUGGGUGCCUGACUGCUGAACUUGAAUUGUAUUCCCUUGCUCUCCAGGUGGGCUCCUGACUGUUGAAACUUGAAAUGUAUUCUCUUGUUCUCCAGGUAGGUUCCUGAUUGCUGAACUCGAAUUGUAUUCCCUUGUUUUCCAGGCGGGCUCCUGACUGCUGAAAUUUCAACCAUCUUUCCUUGUUCUCCAGGUGGACGCCUGAUUCUGAA